CCUACGGGAGGCAGCAGUGAGGAAUAUUGGUCAAUGGACGAGAGUCUAAACCAGCCAAGUAGCGUGAAGGAUGACUGCCCUAUGGGUUGUAAACUUCUUUUAUAUGGGAAUAAAAUGUUCCACGUGUGGGAUUUUGUAUGUACCAUAUGAAUAAGGAUCGGCUAACUCCGUGCCAGCAGCCGCGGUAAUACGGAGGAUCCGAGCGUUAUCCGGAUUUAUUGGGUUUAAAGGGAGCGUAGGUGGAUUGUUAAGUCAGUUGUGAAAGUUUGCGGCUCAACCGUAAAAUUGCAGUGGAAACUGGCAGUCUUGAGGGCAGUAGAGGAGAGGGGAAUUCGUGGUGUAGCGGUGAAAUGAUUAGAGAACACGAAGAAAGCCAAUUGAGAAGGCAACUCACUGGACUGCAACUGACACGGAGGCUCGAAAGUGUGGGUAGCAAACAGGAUUAGAUACCCGGGUAGUC
RNAcentral lists this ribosomal RNA (460 nucleotides) under uncultured bacterium. RNAcentral describes it as "partial 16S ribosomal RNA". It matches the Rfam family "Bacterial small subunit ribosomal RNA", at positions 338 to 795 of the family's 1533-position model. The record is from RNAcentral.